GACGAACGCUGGCGGCGCGCCUAACACAUGCAAGUCGAACGGGAUUUACAGACGGAAGCUUCGGUGGAAGACUGUAAUAUCUAGUGGCGGACGGGUGAGUAACACGUGAGCAACCUACCCUGGAGUGGGGAAUAACAUUCGGAAACGGAUGCUAAUACCGCAUGAUGUCAUUGGGAAGCAUUUCCUGAUGACCAAAGAUUUAUCGCUCUGGGAUGGGCUCGCGCCUGAUUAGCUAGUUGGUAAGGUAAUGGCUUACCAAGGCAACGAUCAGUAGCCGGACUGAGAGGUUGAUCGGGCCACAUUGGGGACUGAGACACGGGGCCCAGACUCCUACGGGGGAGGGCAGCAGUGGGGGGAUAUGCACAUGGAGAAACUCUGAUGCAGCGACGCCGCGUGAC
RNAcentral lists this ribosomal RNA (398 nucleotides) under uncultured Eubacteriales bacterium. Its description in RNAcentral is "bacterial SSU rRNA". It matches the Rfam family "Bacterial small subunit ribosomal RNA", at positions 28 to 405 of the family's 1533-position model. The record is from RNAcentral. Lineage: Bacteria; Bacillati; Bacillota; Clostridia; Eubacteriales.